CGGAGGGUGCAAGCGUUAUCCGGAUUCACUGGGUUUAAAGGGUGCGUAGGUGGGUUGGUAAGUCAGUGGUGAAAUCCCCGAGCUUAACUUGGGAACUGCCAUUGAUACUAUCAGUCUUGAAUACCGUGGAGGUCAGCGGAAUAUGUCAUGUAGCGGUGAAAUGCUUAGAUAUGACAUAGAACACCAAUUGCGAAGGCAGCUGGCUACACGAAUAUUGACACUGAGGCACGAAAGCGUGGGGAUCAAACAGGAUUAGAUACCCUGGUAGUCCACGCCCUAAACUAUGGAUACUCGACAUACGCGAUACACUGUGUGUGUCUGAGCGAAAGCAUUAAGUAUCCCACCUGGGAAGUACGACCGCAAGGUUG
Molecule: ribosomal RNA, 368 nt
Filed under: uncultured organism
Description: bacterial SSU rRNA
Rfam family: Bacterial small subunit ribosomal RNA
Source: RNAcentral